UUCAAAUGAUGUUAUCAUAUAUUUGCUACUUCGGACAAGACUAUCUAUCUUGAAUGAGACAUACUAAUUAUCACCAAGAUCUCUGAUGAU
Molecule: small nucleolar RNA, 90 nt
Filed under: Kazachstania africana CBS 2517
Lineage: Eukaryota; Fungi; Ascomycota; Saccharomycetes; Saccharomycetales; Saccharomycetaceae
Description: Small nucleolar RNA SNORD24
Rfam family: Small nucleolar RNA SNORD24
About the family: U24 is a member of the C/D class of snoRNA which contain the C (UGAUGA) and D (CUGA) box motifs. C/D box snoRNAs have been shown to act as methylation guides for a number of RNA targets. U24 is encoded within an intron of the gene for ribosomal protein L7a in mammals, chicken and Fugu.
Source: Rfam by way of RNAcentral